This 414-nucleotide ribosomal RNA is filed under the name Bacillus sp. (in: firmicutes). RNAcentral's name for it is "bacterial SSU rRNA". It matches the Rfam family "Bacterial small subunit ribosomal RNA", at positions 389 to 794 of the family's 1533-position model. Lineage: Bacteria; Bacillati; Bacillota; Bacilli; Caryophanales; Bacillaceae. The record is from RNAcentral.
AGUCCAUGCCGCGUGAGUGAUGACGGCCUUCGGAUUGUAAAGCUCUUUUGUCAGGGAUGAAGGUGACGUGGCUAAUACGCUUGGCCCUUGACGGUACCUGCACAAGAAGCCCCGGCUAACUUCGUGCCAGCAGCCGCGGUAAUACGGAAGUGGCAAGCGUUAAUCGGAAUUACUGGGCGUAAAGCGCGCGCAGGCGGUCUGUUAAGUCUGAUGUGAAAUCCCCGGGCUCAACCGGGGAAGUGCAUUGGAAACUGGGAGACUUGAGUGCUGUGAGAGGAGAGUGGAAUUCCAUGUGUAGCGGUGAAAUGCGUAGAGAUCUGGAGGAACACCGGUGGCGAAGGCGACUCUCUGGACUGUAACUGACGCUGAGGCGCGAAAGCGUGGGGAGCAAACAGGAUUAUAUACCCCGGUAGA